UUCAGGUAACUUAUUACUUUCAUUUCUAUUUUUGUAUCAUUCUGUAGGACCUGUUCGAUGUGUUUUGAUAGAUUGAGUUUGACUCUUGUGUUAUCGUACUCUGGGCAUUCAAUCAGUAAGUGUUUGACUGUGGUGUCUGCGGCGCAAUACGGGCAGAUUGGAGGGCUUUCGUUAUUUAGGAUAUGGCGAUGCGUAAGACGUGUGUGACCAAUUCUUAAUCUGGUUAAAAUUCUUUGAUGGCUCCUGGAAGGGUGGUCAGUCCAUGGAUCUAUUGCUGUUUUUAUGUACUUUAGGUGUUUGUCGUUGGAUUGUAGCCAUUCUGUUGUCCAAUGUAUUUUAAUCUGGUUGUGAAGCCAACGGCAAAAGUCGGCUCUGGACAAUUUGUUGUUUUGAAUUGCAGGUAACAGUCGGGCUUCGUUGGCCAGUCUGUCGGCAUGGUCAUUUCCAGGGAUCCCCUUGUGGCUGGGGAUCCAGCAGAAGCUGAUGUGUCUGAUGUUGGAGAGUUGCUCUAUUUGUUGAAUGUAUGGGUUUUUGAAGUUGCCAUGUUCUAUAGCUUUUAAUACGGAUGCGCUGUCUGUGAAGAUAACACAUUCUGUGUUUGGAGGUGCUAUUUCUUCUGCUGCUUUUAUGAUUGCUAUUGCUUCCGCUGAGAAAAUGGUGGUGUGACAAGGCAAUCUUAGUUUUAGGCAUCUAUUUUGAGUGUAAACUGCACAACCGGCGUUAGGUGGUAAAACGGAUCCAUCAGUGUAAAUUUUUAAGUGGUUUUUGUAUUUGUCGGCUAUUUCGAUGAAAUGCUGCAGUAUAACCGAAUUAUUGUUGUUGUUCUUGCUAAUGUGUUGCAUCGACCAGUCUACCUUGAUGGUGGGAUUGUACCACGGUUUUAGCUUAUUUUUGUUGAUGAUACUUCAGUGGAAGAACGCCGCAUUCAACUAGUGCUGCUUCGGUUGGACUGGUUUUGAAGCAACCCGAUAUGUGCUUGACGGCCCGGUGGUAUAGUGGAGCGAAUUGUUGAAUAAGAUCUGUGGAACCUAGUGAGGAAAUCUCCGCCCCGUACAGCAGCCGCGGCAAGAACCAGCCCUUUAGGACUGCCAACAGCGCUGGGCGAGGGGUGUUAUUCUGUGCCAACGUACGGAUUAUAUUUAAACGAGGUAUGGUGCGUCUUUUAAUUUCUCUGCAGUGGGGCCCGAAGGACGGUUGCGGACACGUGUGAUUCCGCUUGGUAUAUGUAAAAUUUUGCUCUUUGAAGCCGCUAUAGAGUUGCCGGUCCAGUUGGUCCACUGGAAAACCUUGUUGACAGCAUGCUGUAGCUUGAGUCGUGCGGUCUUGGCGUAGUGGUGUGUGGAAACUAGUAUUAUGUCGUCAGCGUAAAGGAAGAUGUGUACGUUUGUGGGGAGGGAUAGUAGUAGGGAUUCGAUGCUUAUAAGGAAGAGGGUGGGAGACAAAGAAGACCCUUGCGGAACUCCGUUCUCAAGAGGGAAAGGGCGGGAAGUGUACGAGCCUAGCAGGAUUUUAAAGGUCCGAUCGGUUAGGAAAUGUUGCAGAAAUGCCGUUAAGCGGCCACCUAUGCCCCAUUUUGCCAAUUGAUCUAAUAUGUAGUAUCGCCAGGUGCGGUCAAAGGCCUUUGACAGGUCAAUGAUUGCGCAGAUAAUGUGUUUUCCUUUGUUCCUUGCUGUAGAGAAACACUGCUCUAAUGUCGCAAGGUAUGUUUCCAUACUCUUGCCGGGUCGAAAGGCGUGUUGGUGUUUGUUGAGGAGUUUACGGUCUUCGAGCUUCGUAAUGAGUCUCCGGUUGACCAUUUUCUCCAUCACCUUGCAGGUGCAAGGGAGUAGAGAGAUGGGCCGGUAGCUAUUGGCACUAUUGCUGGGUUGAUUAGGUUUGGGGAUAGGCACUAUCAGACUAUUUUUCCAUUCUGAUGGGAUGUUUCCGGUGGUCCAGAUAUUGUUGUAAAUAGCGAGCAAACGGUAAUGAGCAAUGAGAGGUAGAUUUUUGAGCAAAGGGUAGCCGAUAUUGUCGGCACCGGCAGAGUUUCCCUGGCAGCUGUUAAGUGCCCAGUGGAGCUCUCUUAUGGAAAACAGUUGAUUGUACGAUUUGUGGUUUGUGUCAGGAAAAGUGAUGGGAAGGUUGGACUCGGUAUUUAUUUUGUGAGCUAUGAAACUGGAAGAGUAGUUUUUGGUGGCUGAGGAGUUGUAGAAGUGAUUGCCGAGUGUUUGGGCAAUUUCGGGCGUGGAUGUAAUUGAUUGGUUGUUUUCGAUCAAAGUGAAGGUAGAGGAUGGUUUUUCCCAGACAUGUAGUUUAUCUGUCCCCAGACCUGUUUGAGUGUACUGGAUGGCUUGAUACUGUGCGCCAAGCUAGUCCAACCGGAGGCCUUAGCCUCUUGGAUGGCCCGCUUAGCUUUGGAGUUGGCUAUGCGAUAUAGGCUGGCUAGAUGAGGUGUAAUGGGGUUGUUGGGAAUACGAGUGCUCCGCCGCAGUUUGCGAAGGGCGGAUCUGCGUUCUUUGAUGGCUAAUUGAACGUCCUUGUUCCACCAGGGUACGGAUUUGCCGGAUUUGAAACCUUUUGUAAUAGGAAUACUGAGUUUGGCUGCUUUUAAGAUUAGGUUGUGGAGCUCGUCUAUUGUCAUGUCGUUGUUGGUCGAGAUGUGUGAGUCUAUUGUUUGCUGGUAUAGCGACCAAUUGGCCUUUUCAUAUUUCCAACGAGGUCGGGAUGUUGGUCUGGCGUCUAUUUGGUUGUGUUGAAUGAGAAUCGGAAAAUGGUCACUGCCGUGAAGGUCGGGGGCUAUGGACAGUUUGAAUUGAGAGCAAAUAUCGUUCGAUACUGCACAGUGGUCUAGAGUGGAUUCCUUUCCAUCAGCGGGAGAAAUGCGAGUGGGUUGAUGAUUUUGAAGCACAUACAUGCUGUUAAGCUCAAAGUAAGCGUACAGCAGUUUACCGCGUGGAGUACACUUAUCGUUGCCCCACGCUGUGUGGGAGCAGUUUAAAUCGCCAAUUAUUAUCUUAGGGUGGUCGGUUUGCAUGGCUACGCUAUUGAGGUCGUUUGUUAGGUAGAGAAAUGAUGAAUGGGGAAUGUAGCUAUUGAUGAUGGUCACUGUGCAGGGAUAUUUUAUUUUCACGGCUAGUACUGGGAGUGGUGAAUUGAUAGAGACGAAUUCGUGGUCGAUUGUUUUUAAAACGCCUAUUGCUAUGUUGUGGUGAAUGUUGUUGAAAUUUUUAAAAUACCAUUGGUAUUGCGCGAAGGAAGUGUUGAAAACAGGUGGAAUAAACAUUGUUUCUUGGAGUGUGAUUAUA
Long non-coding RNA from Anopheles merus, 3284 nucleotides. RefSeq lists it as uncharacterized. Lineage: Eukaryota; Metazoa; Arthropoda; Insecta; Diptera; Culicidae. The record is from RefSeq and is a predicted model, not a curated record. The transcript has 3 exons.